UUCUUUUAAGGCAGAGACGCAAAUCGGUUCCUCUUCGUCUUCUUUUAAGGCGGAGACGCAAAUCGGUUCCUCUUCGUCUUCUUUUAAGGUGGAGAGCCAUCGUCCUAUCCUCGAAUACCCAACACAUCUGCUCCUCCGUUUGGGUCCUCUUUGCACAUCUCAUCUCCCCCAACCGAAAUCUUGAAGGCUCUAUCGCAGCAGCAACGAGCUUUCGUUGCCGCACUCGAUGGCAGACACCCAGCUCCAACAAAUCUGGCAGCCUUGGCGGCCUCUGGCUUCUCUGGCGUCUGGGCUCUUGGAUGUGGAAGCGGCCAGGACUGGGCAGUUGGGUGCCACCACGUCCAGUUCAUACGAAUCGUGAAGGCCGCUCGGUGCCACCACACGACUUGUUCUAGCGACCGAUCGGGCAUCCUACGGCAGAGAACGGAUACCAUGUAUGCCGCGGUACUACAUCUCCUUCUCACAACAUUUUUUUUAGAUCUCCUUCUCAAAACUUCACCUUUCUGGCCUCCAGCAGGGGCAUCGACAACACCCCUUGAUCCUGAUAAAUAGUCUAUUGUGCCAGCGAAUGUGAUCGAUAGCGUCUUGGGCGUCCUCCUCAUUAGCACCACCAUCGAUCAUGUGACCGUGAACUCAUCAAGGUUCAUCACAAGGGAGUAGGGGUUCGAGACAGUCAAUCGACAUUCACUACUGCAGCUUCAAACGCGGUUCGUGGGGGCAGCUCCAGCACUGGCAAAAGGUGAGCUUGGAGAAAUAACUUCAUCUGAUUUGCACGAUCCAAUCUUUAGUCCAGAAUAAUUUCACAAUCAAGGGCUUUUGGAUGGUAAAAUAGUGAGGAUCUGUGAACAAACUAAAGCGUCAAAACUCAGGGUGGACUGGAUAGGGUACACUCACAUUAUUUAACUUUAUUCUAACAUAUUGUAUAUCCACUGUCAACACCAAUCAGGGGCCUUUUUACUUUAUGUUUAUUUGUGCUAUAAAAGCAGUACUCUCUAAUCUUCAGAUUUCUAACUCGGUAAGAAAUUUGAUUAACAUAUCUUAUAUAUACCGUCAACACAAAUCAGGGGCUUUUUACUGUUUACGUAUUUAUUUGUGCUAUAAAAAGAAGUACACUAAUCUUCAGAUUUCUAUCUCUGUAGGGGAUUCGAAAGCAUCUGGUCUGUACCAAUUGACACACAAAAAGAACCUUGGCAAACGAAAAAUACUAAACGAUGGAAAGACUAUUCUGACAAGAAAUAUUCUUUAGGUUACUGUAGUAUUUAUUGUAAUUAAUUGACCCCAUUGUUUUGUUAAAAUUAGAUGGAUGGCAGUUUGCUCACCUUUUCCCUACAGGGUUGAGCACUAUAGCAACUGUAUUAGCCUAAAGUAGCCAUUCAACAACUAUUUGUGUGUUCUAUUAACCAUUAUAUUCAUGUCCACCAAUAAGGAAAUUAAAUUUAUCAGCACUAACACAUAUUUAUUUCUUCAUUUUCUGAUUGCAGGAUCUCGCUAUCAGGGCCAGACAAAGCAACUAGGUAGGCUAAGAUAUUUCUCCAAAUAAGCUAAUUAUGUGUCCCAAUUUUCUUAUUUCUAAAUAUAUUUUAAAUUUACUUGAGGCUCAUAAUUAUGUUAUUUCCUGUAACAUCUUGCCUAACACACUUCAUGCAUAUAUGGUAUUAGGACAGAAGGUUGUCAAACUCUACAUGUUUUCUCCUCAUGGAUAUAAUCAUUUGCCGAUCUUAGCUUAUCAUCCAAACUACUUUCUGUAUGCCUUAAUUUUCUGAGAACUUGCAAUCAUUCUGUUUUGAGUGAUUUAGAUUAUACUUUAUUUAUCAAUUAAUUGUUCUUUUAAUCUAAAUCUUAUAAGAUGCAUUUUGGAUUUGUAGGUCAUUGGUUGUGUCAGAGAGUUCGGCUCGGAUAACUAUGAGCAACCUUUCCUUUGCCUUACUUGGUUAAAUACCAUGUUAUCUUUCUUAUUGUAAGUCAAAUUGUAGCCUACUUGAAAACAACCGCCACCCUCACUGUAAUUCACAAUGUCAUCUUCACACACCCAAAUAAGCUAAAUUUUAGCAGUAUAAUAGGAUUGGAGUUGAGGAAAAGCAUCAAUGUUACUUUUUUGAGCUGAAAUGUGUUACUUUCAUAAUAUCACACUGCAUUUUUCUCCAAA
Molecule: long non-coding RNA, 2146 nt
Filed under: Triticum aestivum (bread wheat)
Lineage: Eukaryota; Viridiplantae; Streptophyta; Magnoliopsida; Poales; Poaceae
Description: long non-coding RNA (TAES_LNC008651)
Source: RNAcentral